This is a non-coding RNA of Misgurnus anguillicaudatus (oriental weatherfish), 2296 nucleotides long. Lineage: Eukaryota; Metazoa; Chordata; Actinopteri; Cypriniformes; Cobitidae. The record is from RefSeq and is a predicted model, not a curated record.
ACGGGCCACCUUCAGCGGCAUGAGUAAGACAGUUAGUCACGCUCUCUGGUCACCAUUCAGUCUAAAUAGUUUCCACUUAAACGCCCUAUUAAGGGUCAGAUCACCCUCAACCCCGCCCACACACCCGAGAACCCGCAACAAAUGAUCCGUGUGACGUUCGGGCACAUUAUUCCCUCUUCUCAGCAUAUCUGAUUAUGUCCUUUCAAAAGCCACUUUCUCUUAACGCGCAGAUGAGCUGAAAAAAGUCUAUAAAAGUCAUUUCUAUUGAGGGCGUCAUGUCUAGAGGGGCAGAAUGGAUGGAGGGAGGGGGCUUUUAGUGCCCGGCUUUUCAUUAAAGAGAACAAAAAACCCGGAGAGCAGAUUCCGCCCUCUGCUGUGCAGGAAUGCAGGCGUAUUGUGCUCGCUCCCGUCGUCGAGCUUGCCGAUCCAAGAUCGGUGUGGCCACGGGGUCGCAUGUGUGCGGUCGCGCGACAAAAGCUGAUUGGUCACGGGCAGGAAGGUCCGUGCGCGCGCGCGAAGAGCGCUGUGGGAAAGUGUCACCGCUAAACACUUUACAGCGGGACUUUUAUCACCCGAAUCUGACAGAACCGAAUCCGGUCAGUGUUGCAGGUGGACUCACCUGACUGUGACUGAACAGUUUUUCCAUCAGUCAUCCGAGGACACUUGUGGCUCUCCGGGUCUCCGGUCUGAUGGACGCCCUUCCCUUUCAUCACCAAGCCCAGGGGUCCGAAAAGCAAAGCGGACGAACAUUUCUUGGAGUGGACACCUGACGCGGCCCAUCCAACAGCCAGGGGAAGAGGCUGGAAAGCUCGAUGGAUCCGUUCGGGCGCAUGGUUCCUGUGAUGAGGUAGAGCUGAGCGCGACCGGGUCGGACCAGAUCAUGAGCACAUCUGAGGUUGAUGAGGAGCCAGCGUUGAAGGAGGCUGGCGGUGUCGUAAGGGAGCAGUGGACCUCGCUGGAUAAACUCCACGUGUCCCUCCACCAUCAGCUCUGGAUCCGAGGAGGGCAGACGACGGCGAGAGAUCUUGGCUUUCACAGCUACGUGGAGGAGAAGAAAAGCAGUGAAGGCACCUCCUCUACAGACGGACAGUUUUGACAGGCAGGCUGAGGAAAUUCUGCAUGCACAAGAAUACACAGUCAGUUUAAAUUCAGUCAGAUUUAAUCAAUCAUGAAUCUAUGGCUUUGCAUCUCAAAAUAAAUGUGAAUGUUUAAGGAAAAGUCUCACCUUUGGAGAAAGCGCUGAUAUGUUUGGGCAGAGGUGUCAGGCACGUAUCGUCCUGCUCGGGAAACCGAUCGCAAUCCAAAGCUUCGGGCCAAGCGUGUCCAUGACAGGCCAACACAGGGGCACAGCUGUCCCGUACGGCCCUGCACACGCUACGACACGGCUGAAUAAACCUGUAGAGAAACAAUCACAGGAGCGAUCAAUGAGCAAACGAAAGUCCUGGCCUGCGGGUGGCAGCCGGUAUGAAGCAAAGUUCUCCAUUCUUCAGAACGAGGAACCGCUUCUUCAAGACUGCUGUGACCCAACAGGUUGGGCAGCCUCAUUUCAGAAUACGGCACAUCCUGACAAACGCUCAUCUGAUGGGGAACCGGGACGCAGCGAGUCGUCUGGCCCAGGUCGAAGGCUCCGCUGUGGGCUACGAGAGAGACGACGAUCAGCAGGCUGAAAAGAUCCAUGAUCCCGGAGAGAGAGAAAGAGAUGGAAAGAGAGGUCCGGUGAGUCCUGAGAGAGUGAAUGAUGGAGAGGUCUGACGUCUCUGACUUUAUAUAGAGGCAGGCAGAUGUUAUCAACGACACAUCAGAGUCGCAGACAAGGUGACAAGAAGGAGAUAAUGGCCCUCAGACACAGAGGAGGGGUGAAGGGGGGGACAUUAAAUAAACAAGUCGAGCAUUACACGGCCCCAUUGAGAUCACACUUGUAAUGAGUCGGAUGGGCUGAACCAGCAGCUAUCAUCCUGAAACACAAACACACUUGUGUGCAAAAUUAUAGACUGAGAUGAAAUUGAUUUUUUUGGACUGAAACAUCUUUUUUUUUUUUGUAAAAAAUACUUAAUAUUACUAAGGUCUAGUCCUGGAUUAAUCGAAACCCUGUCCCUUUAUCAUAAAUGCAAUGUGUGCAAAUAUUACUCAUGUGGCAUCCUCAUCACAUUUAUGAUUAUAAAUUAUUGCAUAGCUUCAGAAAAAUGUUAUUCAAAAAACUAUUUGCUUAAUCAUUUGCUAUUCGUGCAGAAUAAAAAUGUCAAAAAAAUCAAUCAGGCUGUUGGUUGCAAUUUGCUUCAAACACUACAAAAGUCAU